Non-coding RNA from Cricetulus griseus (Chinese hamster), 3198 nucleotides. The record is from RefSeq and is a predicted model, not a curated record. NCBI's taxonomy places the organism in Eukaryota, Metazoa, Chordata, Mammalia, Rodentia, Cricetidae.
GCAUUAUACCUAAUACAAGUUUCUGUGUAUUCAUUUGGGCCCUGACUCGGGUGGGCGACUGGCGUAAAGCUCACACGUGGCGGUGGGGCUCAGGCAGCUUAUGGUAGAAAGAUUUAUCGUAACACUGAGGUCAGCUUCCAGCACCCAUCUUAGGCAGCUCACAACCACUAUAACUCCAGCUCCAGGAUCUCUGAUGUCUCUGGCCUCAGUAAGUACCUGCAUUCACAUGAACAUGCCCACUUAUGUGCAUCUGCAUCUGCAUAAGUUCAUAAAAACACACACAUGUAACUAAAAAUAAUCUUGAGAAUACAUUUCAGGAAGCAGUCUUCCAAUGGCCUCUGUAACAAUGAAGUACUUGGCCUAGAAUCUGUGCGACUGUGGAGCAUGGUGACUGGAGCCAGAGUGAUUCCAAGACAAAGCAGAACACCCGAGGACUCCAGGAUGCCUGCACCUCCCAACAUCUUCCUGUGCUCGAGAACCUCUCCAAAGCCUUGAUUGAUUCCGUGUAAGGUGCCUCCAUGCUGGUUCCUGACAGACACGGUGAACUGCACAUGUCGGGGAGUGGGACCUAUGUCUUGCAUGGGUGGCAUGUAGGCCACUUUCAUAUGAUUCACGGCAUGCUGGAAAGCAAAUUGAGAUGGAUAUAUGUGUUGAUUUGCAGAGACUGGAAUUGUUUAGCAACCUAGGUCUAAGACCACUGCAGUAUUAACUGAUACGGAGCAAGUAAGUAUUACCAUGAAUGAAAAACUUCCCAAGGCUCUAUUGUGUAAACCACAUUGCCUAAACAUAAGAGGAAAACGGAGGAAGUCAGGCAGCAUGUCAAAUGAUGGAGUCCAACCAAUUCUGCAAAAGGCAGACUUGGACUUUACCCAGUCCCUCCCUGCAGUCACUGUACUAACACAAAUUGUGUAAGCAUGCAAGGCUUCUGUUUCCUUAUUAGUAAAGUUAUUAAAACAGUAGCACUUUUCACAUUUACAACUUCUAACUAGUAAGAAAUCAGGCAUAAUUAGCCCCAAACCACAGAUGUCUGAUGCCUGAGGACUCAUAUACCAGACCCCCAUGGGGUCUUCAGAGGAGAGUUCACAAGAGUGAGCAGUGGGAUAUGGAAGGAUUUGGGAGAGAGGUAAAUAUUAUGGGAUGAGCUGCAACCCCCUAAAGUGGCAUACUAAAGUUCUAAUUCUUAAAACCUUACAAGGUGAAUUUAUUUAGAACUAGGGCCAUUACAGUUGUACACAGCAGAAACACUUGAGUAGCAUAGCUCUUCAAUCCAACAAAACUGGUCUCCUUGUAAUAGGAAGAGACAGAUUGGGACAGGUGUGACUGACAGAAGACAACAUUUGCAUCUGCAAGCCAGGGAAUAGCAAAGGCUGCUAACAAAGCACUAGAUGCUAACCUGCAGGGAAGGAGAGUCUGCAGGGUUCAGAAGAGCACAACAUGCCAACGUCUCCAUCUUAACACCUCUAGCUUGGGAAAGUAUAGGAAAACAGGCUUUUGUUUUGAACGACAAAAGGUGUUUUUGUUAUGGUAACCAUGAGAAACCAAAACAGUAGAAGAAUGAGUGGUCUACAGUUGGUGGAAUAAAAACACAGGCAUGGGGCCUGAAAUCAGUGCCCUGCCAUUGGCAAAAUGAUGACACCAAAGGCUAUGUGGAUUUAUAAUAAGGUUUGAAAUUACAUCCAGUUUGUUGAAGGCCUUUCAAGCAGCUUACCAGAAGUGUUCAAGUACAAGGAUAAAGACAUAAGACACUGUGGUAGAAGUGACUGGCUAACAUCUCAGACACAACACUGGGAAUGCCACACCCUCUCAAAGAUACAUUACAUAUGGUCAACAUUUUUACACAUUCUCAUACCUGGGUAAAUGACCUCAGCCCGGGAGCUGCAGGGUUUUUUAUUAGCUUUGGUAUGCUGUCCACCAAGAAUAAUUUUCCGGCAUCCAAGUGUCUAAGAGAAAUAUAGACCCCAUCAGCUUAUUUUCCAGCUAAGAAAAAGUAAAUCAAAUCACCCACAAAAAUGCUUGCACCCACAGGUCAUUCAUUGGGGAAACCUGGAAUGUUAAGCAUUUAGCAUUGUCCUCUCAAAGAAAAAGAAGUAUAACCUGUCUAUCUAGAAGGCUGGGAAUUGGAGAUGAUUAACAGCCUUGUGAUCUGUGUUAUCUGCAGGCUCCCACAACCAGGACCAGAGAUGGCUAAUAGUCCAAAUGAUCUCUAUGCUAUCUGUAUGACCAGGACCAUGCCAGGUCCUUCCCUGGGCCCUUAAGCUGAUACAGGCAGCCUGUCUUCAGAACCCAUUUCUUAGAAGAAAUGACAUGUACCCUGAGUUGAGUUUUGAAGUAAUUAUGUGGCUUUGGGCACCAGGGAUUGUAUUACACCAGGAAACUUUUCACCAAAUUGGACUGUGCUUAAAUAGGCUGGCUAUAAACCACUUGGCAUCAGACUCUCCAGAAGUUUGAUCUAGACUAAGUCAGGCUGAACUGAGUUUUCAUUCUCACCUCUUCAUGGUUCAUUUUCCUGCCUGCCAUGGCACUUGCAGGGACCACUGCACCACAAUCAGCUUUUUAAAAACAGUUCAUUGUGGGGAGAAAGCAGAUGCUCCAUCUUUGUAGUCUUAUUAUGUUGUAGCAUCAUCUAUGCUACCCUCAGCAUGACUGAACAAAGUUUUUUUUGCUGUGUCAUGUGAAAAGGAAUCAUUUGUCUCAUCUUGAGAGUUUUCUCGAUGUCAUGUAUAUGACACUAGCCUAAGGGAUAUUUAUGAAACUGUUUUGAAUUGCAUUGCGAUUAUAAAAUACGAAUACCAAGUGAUCUGCCAUAUCAAAAAAUAACACUUUGCAGACUUCAAUAAACAUCAUUAAAAAGAAAAAUAAGGUUUUACUUGAGAAAAAUGGGAUUUCAACCAUUCUGUUUAAGUCUCACUCUGCUGAAAACUACAAGCUGCAUGUCCCUUACUAGUUGUCAUUCAAUGAAGGAAAGAACAAAUUUGUGAUAAAAGUGAAUGCUGAAUUGGAUGUAGAGUUCAACUCUGACCAACGAAGCAAGUAACUCACACUGCCACACAGUGACACUCUAGGAACCAGUAGAACAUACAGUUCUUUACAAAGAAAGACACCUGUGGCUGAAGGAGAAACACGGAGGGCGUGUUAUUGUAUAGAUGAGCUCCCCAUCAUGUGAUUCCGUAUCCAGGAAAUGUAAAUGCUUUUUAGUGA